UCCAGUCAAACCCUGUCAGAGGAGGAGAACGGAAAAACAGAGCAAAAGUGGGUGAGUCAUCAGACUUCUCUAUGCAGGCGUGUGCUGAAGAAAGGUGGGAACGGGGAACAUAUGGCAACGUGUAAAACUGAAUUUACACCUCAGAUUGGCCCUGUGUGCAGGAAGCAGCAGUUCAACACCUACUGAUGGAAAUGACUAAGAACUGCAACAUGAGUGAGAGAGCACUGAAUAUUACUGAUGCUAAUGGGGUCCAUUCACUACAGGUGCUCUAUCAUACUUCCUGUGCACCGACUGUAGACAAACAACAACAAUGACAUGCAUAACUAUUGUCCUCUGUGACCUUGGAUGAGCUUUUGAGGUCUAAAUGUGACCUCAGCUUAUAUUUAGACAUUUGUAAGUUGAACAACUUCACCAAUUUUGUCUUCUUAAAGAUCCUGGGAGCACUACUUCAUAUGUGGCUGAAAGUUGUAUGAAACAUUUUGCAGCAGAUAGAAGUGCACCGAAUCUGAUAAACUGCUUCUGGGGAUGACACUUGAUUCAACAUCUGCUGGGUCUCAAGACUGUGAGACUGAAAAUGAAAAAAAUAUGAAAGUGUGGAUUUACAGAGGAACUAGUUUACCAGACCACUGGAACCCACUCCUCAGUUCUGCUGGAGGUUCCAGUUUGAGGCUAUGUUUGUUGGUACUAGUUUAAAACACCUGAAUCUCCAACCAAACUGCUGGGGGUUGAGCUGCAUUGUGGGUAAUGUAGGUGGCAAGAAGAAGACGUGUAUAUAUAGUUCAAUAUCUUUGCUUUGCUGAAUCGAUUUUAAUCCUUUUGUUGCAACAAGAGUCCCACAGUGUUACACAAGGUGAUGCUAAAUUAGUGGAGUUAUCUUCUAACAAACAAUCAGUUUUAUAGAGUUCUAUAGUGUUUUAUUAAGCUGAACCCUGUGAGGGCCUAAAACUGACAAUAUUUUGACCUCUGCUGAUUCAUUUCUGACCAUUCAGUCAAUCUCUUUUGAGUGAAAUUAAUUGAAAAUCACAAAUAAAUAGUGACUGUUAUGAUCUCUGCUCCAGUCCCUGUUUCUCUCCUUCAUUCUCCCUCCUGGUCUCUCCUUCUUCCUCCUGUUCUCUCUGUAUCUGUCUUCUGUUUUGAUCUGUCUGUCCCUUUGGCUCCCUCUGUCUGUCAUCUCUCUCCCUCUUCUCUCCCUCGUCCCUGUGUCUCUCUCUCCCUGCAUCACCUGUCUGCACUCAGCUGAUUACUGCAGGUGACACUCGUUGCUGUAAUCAGCUCACCUGCCCUCAAUCUCACCUGCUCACUAUUUAAACCUCAUUCCUUCACUCACUCUCUGCUGGAUCAUAAAGAACCACAUCCCUUCAGAGACUUUGCUCCCCUUUUGGCUCCUGUUCUCCCCACUGAGCCCUGCUACCUCUCCACUGCUUCAGCCCCCAUGGAUUCCCUGAGUUUGCUUCCCUGUCCCUUCCCUCUUGUUUUUCCCCUGGUUUCUUCCAGGUGAUGCUGCACCAUCUGAACUUACUCUGGCACCAGGCAGACCAGACUCUCCAGGACGGCCGGGGUCACCGUUGGCACCCUUAGGACCACUGGCUCCAGAGGGUCCACGCUCACCGGGGGCUCCCUAUGUGAAGAGAAACGCCAUAAAACGGGAGUUAGUAGGUCAGUCACUUAAUAGCUGACCCCAAGGAUAAAUGAGUUUCCCUUUUAAUAGUGUAAAGGAGCUUCAUUGACCAGCUGGAGAUGUGAAGAUUAACUCCUGACAGAUUCAUUUUGGUAUAAAUGAAAGUGUCUGCGGGAAGAUAAUGCUAAAUGAGAUUUUGGUGCUGAUGAUUGUGGGGCAUGUAGGUCAGUGGUGCAUGAUGGGCUUGAGAUCUGUGCUGCCAUCCUGUGGCCACAUAGUGGCAUUACAGAAUUCAGAAGAGGAAAUGGGAGUGCUGAGAAUUUUCAAAAAACAAAUUAUCUCCUUCAUUAACUCAUCAGCUUGGUGCUGAUCCGAGUUUCAUGUGAAACAUGAAGAGAAUUAUUCUUGCUUCAUCGGCCACAUAAUUCUAAAAUCUGUAGUCUGCUUUGUGUGAGUUUACCUGAUUUGAGAAUUAUUAAGAAUUAAUGGGUUGGAAAAGUGUUUAUCAGCAACGUCAUCAGGGACAACGAAGUCAAUAAAAAUGCUCAGUGAAAGCUUUUAUGCCAAAAUCUUGUUAACUGCCAUUUUGUUUGUUUAAUAAUAAAUAAAUAUAAUUUUAAAAAUAAA
Amphiprion ocellaris (clown anemonefish) is the source of this 2245-nucleotide long non-coding RNA. RefSeq lists it as uncharacterized. The transcript has 2 exons. NCBI's taxonomy places the organism in Eukaryota, Metazoa, Chordata, Actinopteri, Pomacentridae. The record is from RefSeq and is a predicted model, not a curated record.